RNAcentral lists this ribosomal RNA (253 nucleotides) under uncultured bacterium. RNAcentral's name for it is "partial 16S ribosomal RNA". It matches the Rfam family "Bacterial small subunit ribosomal RNA", at positions 524 to 776 of the family's 1533-position model. The record is from RNAcentral.
UACGUAGGUGGCUAGCGUUGUCCGGAUUUACUGGGCGUAACGAGCGCGCAGGCGGUCGUUCAAGUCGAGUGUGAAAGCCCUCGGCUCACCCGAGGAUCUGCAUCUCAAACUGCCUGGCUUGAGUAUGGGAGAGGAUGAGGGAAUUCCUGGUGUAGCGGUGAAAUGCGUAGAUAUCAGGAGGAACACCGGUGGCGAAGGCGCUCAUCUGGCCCAAUACUGACGCUGAGGCGCGAAAGCCAGGGGAGCAAACGGG